Molecule: ribosomal RNA, 407 nt
Filed under: uncultured bacterium
Lineage: Bacteria
Description: partial 16S ribosomal RNA
Rfam family: Bacterial small subunit ribosomal RNA
Source: RNAcentral
AUUGAACGCUGGCGGCAGGCCUAACACAUGCAAGUCGAGCGGAGCGGCGGACGGGUGAGUAAUGCCUAGGAAUCUGCCUGGUAGUGGGGGAUAACGUCCGGUAACGGGCGCUAAUACCGCAUACUAUCAGAUGAGCCUAGGUCGGAUUAGCUAGUUGGUGGGGUAAAGGCCUACCAAGGCGACGCUCCGCAACUGGUCUGAGAGGAUGGUCAGUAACGCUGGAACUGAGACACGUUCCAAACUCCGACGGGAGGCAGCAGUGGGGAAGAUUGGACAAUGGGCGAAAGCCUGAUCCGGCCAUGCCGCGUGUGUGAAGAAGGUCUUCGGAUUGUAAAGCACUUUAAGUUGGGAGGCGUUACCAACAGAAUAAGCACCGGCUAACUUCGUGCCAGCAGCCGCGGUAAUUA